UACGGAGGAUGCAAGCGUUAUCCGGAAUGAUUGGGCGUAAAGCGUCCGCAGGUGGCUAUGUAAGUCUGCUGUUAAAGAGUGAGGCUCAACCUCAUAAGAGCAGUGGAAACUACAUAGCUAGAGUACGUUCGGGGCAGAGGGAAUUCCUGGUGUAGCGGUGAAAUGCGUAGAGAUCAGGAAGAACACCGGUGGCGAAGGCGCUCUGCUAGGCCGUAACUGACACUGAGGGACGAAAGCUAGGGGAGCGAAUGGG
Molecule: ribosomal RNA, 253 nt
Filed under: uncultured bacterium
Lineage: Bacteria
Description: partial 16S ribosomal RNA
Rfam family: Bacterial small subunit ribosomal RNA
Source: RNAcentral